GAAACUGAGGCUAAUACCGGAUAGGCAAUUUUUCCUGUAAUGGUUUUUUGUUUAAAUGUUUUUUCGCCUAAGGAUGGGUCUGCGGCCGAUUAGGUAGUUGGUUAGGUAAUGGCUUACCAAGCCGUUGAUCGGUACGGGUUGUGAGAGCAAGAGCCCGGAGAUGGAACCUGAGACAAGGUUCCAGGCCCUACGGGGUGCAGCAGGCGCGAAACCUCCGCAAUGUGAGAAAUCGCGACGGGGGGAUCCCAAGUGCCAUUCUUAACGGGAUGGCUUUUCAUUAGUGUAAAAAGCUUUUGGAAUAAGAGCUGGGCAAGACCGGUGCCAGCCGCCGCGGUAACACCGGCAGCUCUAGUGGUAGCAACUUUUAUUGGGCCUAAAGCGUCCGUAGCCGGUUUAAUAAGUCUCUGGUGAAAUCCUGUAGCUUAACUGUGGGAAUUGCUGGAGAUACUAUUAGACUUGAGACCGGGAGAGGUUGGAGGUACUCCCAGGGUAGAGGUGAAAUUCGGUAAUCCUGGGAGGACCGCCUGUUGCGAAGGCGUCUAACUGGAACGGUUCUGACGGUGAGGGACGAAAGUUAGGGGCGCGAACCGGAUUAGAUACCCGGGUAGUCCUAACUGUAAACGAUGCGGACUUGGUGUUGGGGUGGCUUUGAGCUGCUCCAGUGCCGAAGGGAAGCUGUUAAGUCCGCCGCCUGGGAAGUACGGUCGCAAGACUGAAACUUAA
Molecule: ribosomal RNA, 723 nt
Filed under: uncultured archaeon
Lineage: Archaea
Description: bacterial SSU rRNA
Rfam family: Archaeal small subunit ribosomal RNA
Source: RNAcentral